GCCCGUACGGGGACUUGCUUCAUCGGCUUGUGAGCUCGAGUUCUGGUAAGUGCCCUUUUCUUCCUUAUGCCUUUCUCUUUUUCAAGGAUGGAUCUAGAUUCACUGCUCCAUCGGGAACUUUCUUGGAUGGUUGUAUGAAUCCACGUUUGCUGCCCAUGGCUACUCUAUGGGGCAAAUUGUGGCAUUCAGCUUGAAGAGAUUCAGUACCUUAAGCCUCAGGGUGAUGGAGAAUGAAUUAAUCCAUUCCUUCCUGACUCUAUCUCUAAUAGACAAAUUUUACGUGGGCGCGGGUCGGCCACUUAAGUCAUUAGGACGGCCGCCAAUCUCCAAGACUCCCGUGGAAGGUUUCUUUUCCUAAGGCUGGAUUGGGAUCCCUCCCUCUGGCACCUGACCACGCUCUGAACUGCGAGGAAAGUCCCACUCGGGACUCCAGUUCAAGGGAAGUACCAAACUCUAACCUUUGGUGGAGUAUGGGAACCCCUUCUUGGGAGAAUGGCUCCAGGAUGCAAUUGGGUAGAAUGUCCCCCAGACUGGCGGAAAAUUCCUCACUGUCUUUCUCUUUCUCACUGUCUUUGUCCUUUUCUCUCCUGGGGACCAUACGCCAGGCACCUAUUCCUGCCAGGCAGAAUAGGGAAGAUGUUCAAGGGAUGCCCCCAUCAUACCUUGCUACAGGAACCCCAAUGGGGGGAUUUUCAAGGUAAUGGCUCCCUUUCUCUGGGACCAUUCACCAGGCACCUAUUCCUGCCAGGCAGAAUAGGGAAGAUGUUCAAGGGAUGCCCCGAUCAUCCCUUGCUACAGGAACCCCAGUGGGGGGAUUUUCAAGGUAAUGGCUCCCUUUCUCUGGGACCAUACGCCAGGCACCUAUUCCUGCCAGGCAGAAUAGGGAAGAUGUUCAAGGGAUGCCCCCAUCAUCCCUUGCUACAGGAACCCCAAUGGGGGGAUUUUCAAGGUAAUGGCUCCUUUUCUUUCUCCUUUUCUCUCCUGGGGACCAUACGCCAGGCACCUAUUACUGUCAGGCAGAAUAGGGAAGAUGUUCAAGGGAUGCCCCCAUCAUCCCUUGCUACAGGAACCCCAUUGGGGGGAUUUUCAAGGUAAUGGCUCCUUUUCUUUCUCCUUUUCUCUCCUGGGGACCAUACGCCAGGCACCUAUUACUGUCAGGCAGAAUAGGGAAGAUGUUCAAGGGAUGCCCCCAUCAUCCCUUGCUACAGGAACUCCAU
RNAcentral lists this long non-coding RNA (1217 nucleotides) under Equus caballus (horse). RNAcentral describes it as "lncRNA (ENSECAG00000057538.1)". Lineage: Eukaryota; Metazoa; Chordata; Mammalia; Perissodactyla; Equidae. The record is from RNAcentral.